RNAcentral lists this ribosomal RNA (614 nucleotides) under uncultured bacterium. RNAcentral describes it as "bacterial SSU rRNA". It matches the Rfam family "Bacterial small subunit ribosomal RNA", at positions 338 to 944 of the family's 1533-position model. The record is from RNAcentral.
CCUACGGGAGGCAGCAGUGGGGAAUUUUGGACAAUGGGCGAAAGCCUGAUCCAGCCAUGCCGCGUGCAGGAUGAAGGCCUUCGGGUUGUAAACUGCUUUUGUACGGAACGAAAAGGUCUUUUCUAAUAAAGAGGGCCCAUGACGGUACCGUAAGAAUAAGCACCGGCUAACUACGUGCCAGCAGCCGCGGUAAUACGUAGGGUGCAAGCGUUAAUCGGAAUUACUGGGCGUAAAGCGUGCGCAGGCGGUUAUAUAAGACAGUUGUGAAAUCCCCGGGCUCAACCUGGGAACUGCAUCUGUGACUGUAUAGCUAGAGUACGGUAGAGGGGGAUGGAAUUCCGCGUGUAGCAGUGAAAUGCGUAGAUAUGCGGAGGAACACCGAUGGCGAAGGCAAUCCCCUGGACCUGUACUGACGCUCAUGCACGAAAGCGUGGGGAGCAAACAGGAUUAGAUACCCUGGUAGUCCACGCCCUAAACGAUGUCAACUGGUUGUUGGGUCUUCACUGACUCAGUAACGAAGCUAACGCGUGAAGUUGACCGCCUGGGGAAGUCGGCCGCAAGGUUGAAAAUGAAGAGUAGAGNGNGNGAGNGCGAGACGACGACGAGGGAGGAGG